RNAcentral lists this ribosomal RNA (484 nucleotides) under uncultured bacterium. RNAcentral's name for it is "partial 16S ribosomal RNA". It matches the Rfam family "Bacterial small subunit ribosomal RNA", at positions 30 to 507 of the family's 1533-position model. The record is from RNAcentral.
AUUGAACGCUGGCGGCAGGCCUAACACAUGCAAGUCGAGCGGAUGAAGGGAGCUUGCUCCUGGAUUCAGCGGCGGACGGGUGAGUAAUGCCUAGGAAUCUGCCUGGUAGUGGGGGAUAACGUCCGGAAACGGGCGCUAAUACCGCAUAUGUCCUGAGGGAGAAAGUGGGGGAUCUUCGGACCUCACGCUAUCAGAUGAGCCUAGGUCGGAUUAGCUAGUUGGUGGGGUAAAGGCCUACCAAGGCGACGAUCCGUAACUGGUCUGAGAGGAUGAUCAGUCACACUAGAACUGAGACACGGUCCAGACUCCUACGGGAGGCAGCAGUGGGGAAUAUUGGACAGUGGGCGAAAGCCUGAUCCAGCCAUGCCGCGUGUGUGAAGAAGGUCUUCGGAUUGUAAAGCACUUUAAGUUGGGAGGAAGGGCAGUAAGUUAAUACCUUGCUGUUUUGACGUUACCAACAGAAUAAGCACCGGCUAACUUCGUG